RNAcentral lists this ribosomal RNA (547 nucleotides) under uncultured bacterium. RNAcentral describes it as "bacterial SSU rRNA". It matches the Rfam family "Bacterial small subunit ribosomal RNA", at positions 9 to 538 of the family's 1533-position model. The record is from RNAcentral.
GAGUUUGAUCCUGGCUCAGGAUGAACGCUGGCGGCGUGCCUAAUACAUGCAAGUCGAGCGAACAGAUAAGGAGCUUGCUCCUUUGAAGUUAGCGGCGGACGGGUGAGUAACACGUGGGUAACCUACCUAUAAGACUGGGAUAACUUCGGGAAACCGGAGCUAAUACCGGAUAACAUUUAGAACCGCAUGGUUCUAAAGUGAAAGAUGGUUUUGCUAUCACUUAUAGAUGGACCCGCGCCGUAUUAGCUAGUUGGUAAGGUAACGGCUUACCAAGGCGACGAUACGUAGCCGACCUGAGAGGGUGAUCGGCCACACUGGAACUGAGACACGGUCCAGACUCCUACGGGAGGCAGCAGUAGGGAAUCUUCCGCAAUGGGCGAAAGCCUGACGGAGCAACGCCGCGUGAGUGAUGAAGGGUUUCGGCUCGUAAAACUCUGUUAUUAGGGAAGAACAAAUGUGUAAGUAACUGUGCACAUCUUGACGGUACCUAAUCAGAAAGCCACGGCUAACUACGUGCCAGCAGCCGCGGUAAUACGUAGGUGGCAAG